CAGCCGCCGCGGUAAUACGAAGGGGGCUAGCGUUGCUCGGAAUGACUGGGCGUAAAGGGCGCGUAGGCGGAUUGUUUAGUUAGGCGUGAAAUUCCUGGGCUUAACCUGGGGACUGCGCUUAAUACAGGCAGUCUAGAGUGAGGAAGAGGGUUGUGGAAUUCCCAGUGUAGAGGUGAAAUUCGUAGAUAUUGGGAAGAACACCGGUGGCGAAGGCGGCAACCUGGUCCUUGACUGACGCUGAGGCGCGAAAGCGUGGGGAGCAAACAGGAUUAGAUACCCGUGUAGUCCCUGUCUCUUAUAU
RNAcentral lists this ribosomal RNA (301 nucleotides) under uncultured bacterium. Its description in RNAcentral is "partial 16S ribosomal RNA". It matches the Rfam family "Bacterial small subunit ribosomal RNA", at positions 509 to 809 of the family's 1533-position model. The record is from RNAcentral.